GCAAGUCGAACGAGAACGGGUUACAGUUUACUGUAACUGUCAGCUAAGUGGCGCACGGGUGAGUAAUAUAUAGGUAACGUGCCUUCAAGAAGGGGAUAACGUUUGGAAACGAACGCUAAUACCCUAUAUGCCUUUAAGACAAAAGUCUGCAAGGGAAAUAUUUAUAGCUCUAGGAUGGGACUGUACGGUAUCAGAUAGUUGGUGAGGUAAUGGCUCACCAAGUCAAUGACGCCUAACUGGUUUGAGAGGAUGAUC
RNAcentral lists this ribosomal RNA (255 nucleotides) under uncultured bacterium. RNAcentral describes it as "partial 16S ribosomal RNA". It matches the Rfam family "Bacterial small subunit ribosomal RNA", at positions 57 to 305 of the family's 1533-position model. The record is from RNAcentral.